RNAcentral lists this ribosomal RNA (432 nucleotides) under uncultured bacterium. Its description in RNAcentral is "bacterial SSU rRNA". It matches the Rfam family "Bacterial small subunit ribosomal RNA", at positions 358 to 772 of the family's 1533-position model. The record is from RNAcentral.
GGAAUCUUGCGCAAUGGUCGAAAGACUGACGCAGCGACGCCGCGUGCGGGAGGAAGCUCUUCGGGGUGUAAACCGCUGUUGCCCGGGACGAAGGUCCAGAUUUGUCUGGAUUGACGGUACCGGGUGAGGAGGCGCCGGCUAACUCUGUGCCAGCAGCCGCGGUAAUCCAGAGGGCGCGAGCGUUGUCCGGAAUCACUGGGCGUAAAGGGCGCGUAGGUGGCCACCAUAAGGCCGCGGUGAAAGUUCGGGGCUCAACCCUGAAUCGGCCGCGGCGACUGUGGGGCUUGGGCACUGUAGAGGCAGAUGGAAUUCCGGGUGUAGCGGUGGAAUGCGUAGAGAUCCGGAAGAACACCGGUGGCGAAGGCGAUCUGCUGGGCAGUGGACCGCAAGGUCCAGUAGCCGACACUGAGGCGCGACAGCGUGGGGAGCAAA